Mesocricetus auratus (golden hamster) is the source of this 646-nucleotide long non-coding RNA. RefSeq lists it as uncharacterized. The record is from RefSeq and is a predicted model, not a curated record. The transcript is spliced from 3 exons. Lineage: Eukaryota; Metazoa; Chordata; Mammalia; Rodentia; Cricetidae.
GACAGAGAUGCUUAAUUAGCUCGUGAGGAGGGAUGAAACAACACCAUGAGUAUAACACAGCAUUUAAGGCACUUCAGGAAGCCAAAGAGGAAAAGAGGAGAGAGAGCCCCAGGGAGGAGGAUGAAGGAAGAGCUCAAGUGUCCCAAUUUACAGUUUUGCUUUAUGCUUGCACUGAUUCUCAACCCAAGCCCCUCCUUUAAGCAGCUUUAUUUCAUUUUGAAGCAUAAAUGAAACUGGUGAACAUUUAAAAAGGAUCACUCAGGACCAAUUCCGGGAGCAGUCAAAAGCACUACUCAAGGGGACAGAGGAACACUGCGGAUCGGAUAUUCUGUGCAUAUUCAGAGGGUGCCCCUACCUCCGCUAAGAAACAGCAUGAAUUAAUCAAGGUGUGCUAUCUCAGAAAGCCACUGCCAUCCCCACCGCUUUCCUCUUAAAUUGCCACACAAGGAGCUUACCUUUCGCCUGCUUCUGACUUGCAUUAGAAACGCUGACUCGGAUUCUGUUUCCCUCCUGUAUAUCGAUUUAUCUCUUCUCAGCGAGUGUAGAGACUUUUUUUUCUUUUCUCACCCAACUUCUGAUUUCAGGGCUCUUCAACCGAGGUUGUCCAAAUGAAUGAAUGAAAGGCUGUCUUCCGGUCAGCUGCAGU